Molecule: transfer RNA, 85 nt
Filed under: Felis catus (domestic cat)
Lineage: Eukaryota; Metazoa; Chordata; Mammalia; Carnivora; Felidae
Rfam family: tRNA
About the family: Transfer RNA (tRNA) molecules are approximately 80 nucleotides in length.
Source: Rfam by way of RNAcentral
GCCUGGGUGGCUCAGUCGGUUAAGCAUCUGACUUCAGCUCAGGUCAUGAUCUCACAGUUUGUGAGUUCGAACCCCGCAUCAGGCU